UGUGCUUCUCACGUUGCACUGCAGCUGCUCUUGGGCUUAAUUAAUCUGACCCUUGGAGGCUGCAGUGUCAUGGUGUAAAGCACA
Gallus gallus (chicken) is the source of this 84-nucleotide microRNA precursor. The record is from Ensembl. NCBI's taxonomy places the organism in Eukaryota, Metazoa, Chordata, Aves, Galliformes, Phasianidae.